GAACCCGGAGAUAGCUGGUUCUCCUCGAAAUAGCUUUAGGGCUAGCCUCAUGAGAGUCUUAUGGAGGUAGAGCACUGAAUUGCCUAGGGGGCGUCAAAGCUUACCAAAGCAUAUCAAACUCCGAAUGCCAUCAAGAUGAUUCAUGGGAGUCAGACCAUACGAGAUAAGUUGGAUGGUCAAAAGGGAAAGAGCCCAGACCUACAGCUAAGGUCCCAAAGUGCGUGUUAAGUGGAAAAGGAUGUGGGGAUUCUAAGACAACUAGGACGUUGGCUUAGAAGCAGCCAUUCAUUGAAAGAGUGCGUAAUAGCUCACUAGUCGAGAGUCCCUGCGCCGAAAAUGUCCGGGGCUGAAACACGACACCGAAGCUUAGGAAUGUGUAAACAUUGGUAGAGGAGCAUUGCUGGCGGGAUGAAGCCAUACCGUAAGGAGUGGUGGACUGCCAGGAAGAGAGAAUGCCGGAAUGAGUAGCGAGAUGAAGGUGAGAAUCCUUCAGGCCGAAUAUCUAAGGUUUCCAGAGUAAAGCUGAUCUGCUCUGGGUAAGUCGGGACCUAAGGCGAGGUCGAAAGACGUAGUCGAUGGAUAACAGGUUGAAAUUCCUGUACCGCAUAUAAACAGAACUGUGGGGACACAGACAGGGAAUGGAAUCCGGGAAUGGAAAUCCCGGUGCAAGCGAGGUAGGAGUGCUGUUGGCAAAUCCGCAGCACGAUCUGAAGACGUGACGCGUACCGAACAUAAGUAGGGAAGUCCAGGCCCCUGGCUGUCAAGAAAAGCCGCUAUUGUUUUAUAUGUGCCCGUACCGCAAACCGACACAGGUGGAUGAGGAGAGAAUCCUAAGGCCGACGGGAGAAGUAUUGUUAAGGAACUCGGCAAAAUGACUCCGUAACUUCGGGAGAAGGAGUGCCAUGAGAGUGGCCGCAGAGAAAUGGCCCAAGCAACUGUUUAGCAAAAACACAGGUCUAUGCAAAACCGCAAGGUGAAGUAUAUGGGCUGACGCCUGCCCGGUGCUGGAAGGUUAAGGGGAGAGGUUAGCGCAAGCGAAGCUUUGAACUUAAGCCCCAGUAAACGGCGGCCGUAACUAUAACGGUCCUAAGGUAGCGAAAUUCCUUGUCGGGUAAGUUCCGACCCGCACGAAAGGCGUAAUGAUUUGAGCACUGUCUCGACAAUGCAUCCGGUGAAAUUGAAGUACCAGUGAAGAUGCUGGUUACCCGCGCCAGGACGGAAAGACCCCAUGGAGCUUUACUCCAGUUUGAUACUGGGAUUCGGUACUGCAUGUACAGGAUAGGUGGGAGACGAAGAAGGAUGGACGCCAGUCUGUCCGGAGUCGCUGUUGGGAUACCACCCCUGUAGUACUGGGUUUCUAACCAGUUGCCAUGAUCUGGUAAUGGGACAAUGUCAGGCGGGGAGUUUGACUGGGGCGGUCGCCUCCGAAAGGGUAUCGGAGGCGCUCAAAGGUUCCCUCAGAAUGGUUGGAAACCAUUUGAAGAGUGCAAAGGCAGAAGGGAGCUUGACUGCGACACCGACGGGUGGAGCAGGUACGAAAGUAGGACUUAGUGAUCCGGUGGUAUAAAGUGGGAUUGCCAUCGCUCAACGGAUAAAAGCUACCCUGGGGAUAACAGGCUUAUCACUCCCAAGAGUUCACAUCGACGGAGUGGUUUGGCACCUCGAUGUCGGCUCAUCGCAUCCUGGGGCUGUAGCAGGUCCCAAGGGUUGGGCUGUUCGCCCAUUAAAGCGGUACGCGAGCUGGGUUCAGAACGUCGUGAGACAGUUCGGUCCCUAU
This 1777-nucleotide ribosomal RNA is filed under the name human gut metagenome. RNAcentral describes it as "bacterial LSU rRNA". It matches the Rfam family "Bacterial large subunit ribosomal RNA", at positions 835 to 2641 of the family's 2925-position model. The record is from RNAcentral.